This 253-nucleotide ribosomal RNA is filed under the name uncultured bacterium. RNAcentral describes it as "partial 16S ribosomal RNA". It matches the Rfam family "Bacterial small subunit ribosomal RNA", at positions 524 to 776 of the family's 1533-position model. The record is from RNAcentral.
UACGUAGGGUGCGAGCGUUAAUCGGAAUUACUGGGCGUAAAGCGUGCGCAGGCGGCUUCGCAAGUCAGACGUGAAAUCCCCGGGCUUAACCUGGGAACUGCAUUGGUGACUGGCGGGCUAGAGUAUGGCAGAGGGGGGUAGAAUUCCACGUGUAGCAGUGAAAUGCGUAGAGAUGUGGAGGAAUACCGAUGGCGAAGGCAGCCCCCUGGGCCAAUACUGACGCUCAUGCACGAAAGCGUGGGGAGCAAACAGG